CUGUCCUUGGGCAGGUUACAUUAUUGUUGUAUUCCUCUAAGGAAUGUAGAGGAAAAAAGUAAAAACAGUUUGUCCUUUCCUCCUCUUUGAAUAUCCCAGACCCCUCUCUCCUUGGGAAGCCCUAGACUUCUUGUCAACCUGCCUAGGAAGUGACCCUCUUAUUUCUCCAUUUUCUUUU
Molecule: long non-coding RNA, 178 nt
Organism: Cervus elaphus (red deer)
Lineage: Eukaryota; Metazoa; Chordata; Mammalia; Artiodactyla; Cervidae
Exons: 3
Source: RefSeq, a predicted model, not a curated record